This is a long non-coding RNA of Pan troglodytes (chimpanzee), 241 nucleotides long. RefSeq lists it as uncharacterized. The record is from RefSeq and is a predicted model, not a curated record. The transcript is spliced from 3 exons. NCBI's taxonomy places the organism in Eukaryota, Metazoa, Chordata, Mammalia, Primates, Hominidae.
CCCGCUGCCAAACUCCUGACCUCAGGUGAUCCAUCUGCCUCAGCUUCCCAAAGUGCUGGGAUUACAGGCGUGAGCCACCGCACCCGGCCGUUGAACGUUGAUCACCCGAGAGACUUGGCUUCUCUUCAGCCUUAGCUGUGCAACCUGGGGUCCAGCUCAAAUCGUUGGAAUGUGGAAGUCCUUCCUCUCGCCCCGUCCUGAGGAGCAGCUGCAGGAGCUUCAUGAGUGUUUUCAUUGGAAC